GAUGAACGCUGGCGGCGUGCCUAAUACAUGCAAGUCGAGCGAACAGACGAGGAGCUUGCUCCUCUGACGUUAGCGGCGGACGGGUGAGUAACACGUGGAUAACCUACCUAUAAGACUGGGAUAACUUCGGGAAACCGGAGCUAAUACCGGAUAAUAUGUUGAACCGCAUGGUUCAAUAGUGAAAGACGGUUUUGCUGUCACUUAUAGAUGGAUCCGCGCCGCAUUAGCUAGUUGGUAAGGUAACGGCUUACCAAGGCAACGAUGCGUAGCCGACCUGAGAGGGUGAUCGGCCACACUGGAACUGAGACACGGUCCAGACUCCUACGGGAGGCAGCAGUAGGGAAUCUUCCGCAAUGGGCGAAAGCCUGACGGAGCAACGCCGCGUGAGUGAUGAAGGUCUUCGGAUCGUAAAACUCUGUUAUUAGGGAAGAACAAAUGUGUAAGUAACUCUGCACGUCUUGACGGUACCUAAUCAGAAAGCCACGGCUAACUACGUG
This 497-nucleotide ribosomal RNA is filed under the name uncultured bacterium. RNAcentral describes it as "partial 16S ribosomal RNA". It matches the Rfam family "Bacterial small subunit ribosomal RNA", at positions 28 to 507 of the family's 1533-position model. The record is from RNAcentral.